This 642-nucleotide ribosomal RNA is filed under the name Agrobacterium pusense. RNAcentral describes it as "bacterial SSU rRNA". It matches the Rfam family "Bacterial small subunit ribosomal RNA", at positions 90 to 767 of the family's 1533-position model. Lineage: Bacteria; Pseudomonadati; Pseudomonadota; Alphaproteobacteria; Hyphomicrobiales; Rhizobiaceae. The record is from RNAcentral.
GGGGAGUGGCAGACGGGUGAGUAACGCGUGGGAACAUACCCUUUCCUGCGGAAUAGCUCCGGGAAACUGGAAUUAAUACCGCAUACGCCCUACGGGGGAAAGAUUUAUCGGGGAAGGAUUGGCCCGCGUUGGAUUAGCUAGUUGGUGGGGUAAAGGCCUACCAAGGCGACGAUCCAUAGCUGGUCUGAGAGGAUGAUCAGCCACAUUGGGACUGAGACACGGCCCAAACUCCUACGGGAGGCAGCAGUGGGGAAUAUUGGACAAUGGGCGCAAGCCUGAUCCAGCCAUGCCGCGUGAGUGAUGAAGGCCUUAGGGUUGUAAAGCUCUUUCACCGAUGAAGAUAAUGACGGUAGUCGGAGAAGAAGCCCCGGCUAACUUCGUGCCAGCAGCCGCGGUAAUACGAAGGGGGCUAGCGUUGUUCGGAAUUACUGGGCGUAAAGCGCACGUAGGCGGAUAUUUAAGUCAGGGGUGAAAUCGCGCAGCUCAACUGCGGAACUGCCUUUGAUACUGGGUAUCUUGAGUAUGGAAGAGGUAAGUGGAAUUCCGAGUGUAGAGGUGAAAUUCGUAGAUAUUCGGAGGAACACCAGUGGCGAAGGCGGCUUACUGCUCCAUUACUGACGCUGAGGUGCGAAAGCGUGGGGA